GUUAAGCGACUAAGCGUACACGGUGGAUGCCCUGGCAGUCAGAGGCGAUGAAGGACGUGCUAAUCUGCGAUAAGCGUCGGUAAGGUGAUAUGAACCGUUAUAACCGGCGAUUUCCGAAUGGGGAAACCCAGUGUGAUUUGUCACACUAUCAUUAACUGAAUCCAUAGGUUAAUGAGGCGAACCGGGGGAACUGAAACAUCUAAGUACCCCGAGGAAAAGAAAUCAACCGAGAUUCCCCCAGUAGCGGCGAGCGAACGGGGAGCAGCCCAGAGCCUGAAUCAGUGUGUGUGUUAGUGGAAGCGUCUGGAAAGGCGCGCGAUACAGGGUGACAGCCCCGUACACAAAAAUGCACAUACUGUGAGCUCGAUGAGUAGGGCGGGACACGUGGUAUC
RNAcentral lists this ribosomal RNA (392 nucleotides) under Escherichia coli. RNAcentral's name for it is "partial 23S ribosomal RNA". It matches the Rfam family "Bacterial large subunit ribosomal RNA", at positions 1 to 433 of the family's 2925-position model. Lineage: Bacteria; Pseudomonadati; Pseudomonadota; Gammaproteobacteria; Enterobacterales; Enterobacteriaceae. The record is from RNAcentral.